This 545-nucleotide ribosomal RNA is filed under the name uncultured bacterium. RNAcentral describes it as "bacterial SSU rRNA". It matches the Rfam family "Bacterial small subunit ribosomal RNA", at positions 466 to 1009 of the family's 1533-position model. The record is from RNAcentral.
CUGUUGACGUGAACCCAAGAAGAAGCACCGGCUAACUCCGUGCCAGCAGCCGCGGUAAUACGGGGGGUGCAAGCGUUAAUCGGAAUCACUGGGCGUAAAGGGUGCGUAGGCGGUACGUUAGGUCUGUCGUGAAAUCCCCGGGCUCAACCUGGGAAUGGCGGUAGAAACCGGCGAACUAGAGUAUGGGAGAGGGUGGUGGAAUUCCAGGUGUAGCGGUGAAAUGCGUAGAGAUCUGGAGGAACAUCAGUGGCGAAGGCGGCCACCUGGCCCAAUACUGACGCUGAGGCACGAAAGCGUGGGGAGCAAACAGGAUUAGAUACCCUGGUAGUCCACGCCCUAAACGAUGAAUACUAGAUGUUUGGUACCUAGCGUACUGAGUGUCGUAGCUAACGCGAUAAGUAUUCCGCCUGGGAAGUACGGCCGCAAGGUUAAAAACUCAAAGGAAUUGACGGGGGCCCGCACAAGCGGUGGAGCAUGUGGUUUAAUUCGAUGCAACGCGAAGAACCUUACCUGGGCUUGACAUGUCCGGAAUCCUGCAGAGAUGC